AUACGUAGGUGGCAAGCGUUGUCCGGAAUUAUUGGGCGUAAAGCGCAUGUAGGCGGUUUGGUAAGUCGGUCGUGAAAAUGCGGUGCUUAACGCCGUAUGGCGAUCGAAACUGCUGAACUUGAGUGCAGGAGAGGAAAGGGGAACUCCCAGUGUAGCGGUGAAAUGCGUAGAUAUUGGGAAGAACACCAGUGGCGAAGGCGGGUAACUGGACUGCAACUGACGCUGAGGCGCGAAAGUGUGGGGAGCAAACAGGAUUAGAUACCCUGGUAGUCCACACUGUAAACGAUGAAUGCUAGGUGUAAGAGGUAUCGACCCCUUUUGUGCCGGAGUCAACACAAUAAGCAUUCCGCCUGGGGAGUACGGCCGCAAGGUUGAAACUCAAAGGAAUUGGCGGGG
RNAcentral lists this ribosomal RNA (396 nucleotides) under uncultured bacterium. RNAcentral describes it as "partial 16S ribosomal RNA". It matches the Rfam family "Bacterial small subunit ribosomal RNA", at positions 523 to 918 of the family's 1533-position model. The record is from RNAcentral.